AGAUGGUGGAGGUUCUUGUUUGUGCACAAAAUUGGCUUUGAAGUAACAUUCCAAUAUGCCUUAGACAAGCAAUGGAGGAUGUUGAGCAAUUUGAACAACAAUAUGAUUCGGUUGUUUCGGAGUCAAGCUCAUGUUCAAGCCCAAGUCCAGAGACUAAUUUUAUUGAAGUUUAAUAUUAUUGGUUUACAUGGCUCAUGAUUUGGUGAAAAGAAAUGAAUGGUUUUUUUGCUACUUUUUGGAUGACUGUAACUUAUUUUUUUUGGAUGCACAAUAUUUGUUGGAUGAGCAAAAAAAAGUUACAGUCAAGGGGAAAUAUUGUG
Non-coding RNA from Camellia sinensis, 320 nucleotides. NCBI's taxonomy places the organism in Eukaryota, Viridiplantae, Streptophyta, Magnoliopsida, Ericales, Theaceae. The record is from RefSeq and is a predicted model, not a curated record.